Molecule: ribosomal RNA, 576 nt
Filed under: uncultured eukaryote
Lineage: Eukaryota
Description: SSU rRNA
Rfam family: Eukaryotic small subunit ribosomal RNA
Source: RNAcentral
UAAAAACCCCGACUUCGGAAGGGGUGUAUUUAUUAGAUACAAAACCAAUGCCCUUCGGGGCUCUUUGGUGAUUCAUGAUAACUAUACGAAUCGCACGGCCUUGCGCCGGCGAUGGUUCAUUCAAAUUUCUUCCCUAUCAACUUUCGAUGUUUGGGUAUUGGCCAAACAUGGUUGCAACGGGUAACGGAGGGUUAGGGCUCGACCCCGGAGAAGGAGCCUGAGAAACGGCUACUACAUCCAAGGAAGGCAGCAGGCGCGCAAAUUACCCAAUCCCGACUCGGGGAGGUAGUGACAAUAAAUACUGAUACAGGGCCCUUUCGGGCCUUGUAAUUGGAAUGAGUACAAUUUAAAUCCCUUAACGAGGGACAAUUGGAGGGCAAGUCUGGUGCCAGCAGCCGCGGUAAUUCCAGCUCCAAUAGCGUAUAUUAAAGUUGUUGUGGUUAAAAAGCUCGUAGUUGAACCUUGGGCCUGGCUGGCCGGUCCGCCUCACCGCGUGCACUGGUCCGGCCGGGCCUUUCCCUCUGUGGAACCCCAUACCCUUCACUGGGCGUGGCGGGGAAACAGGACAUUUACUUU